AUCUGUCAAGAAAGCCUCAAUGCAGAAUCUUCAUCCAUCGUCCAAACAAAACCAGGCAUGUCGAAUCGAGGCCCAGCAAUAGUCCUAUAAAUGUAAAGCUUCUCAACAGGACAACUUUCUGGCCUUGAAUCUGGAGGUCCCCUCUCAUCAAUAACUUCAACAUUAAGCCUAGGCAUCUUCUGACCUAGCAGCUUACAUGCUCCAAAACUCACUGAGCAAGAAGACAUCCAAAGGGAUCGCAUUGUCUCCAGCUUUGCAGCAUUGACCAAAAGAGCCUUGUCCCCAAAGGGGCAAUCUCGAAUCUCUAGUUUGCGAAGGUUUUCACACCCAGACAGUACAUGAUGGAGUCCCAGAUCACUAUCUCCAGCAAAAGCUACAGAUAGCAUCUCUAGCUUUUUGGCAUGGGUUCCAAUAUACUCAAACACAUGAUCAGUGAGAAGACCUGACAAGGAAAGGCGCUGGAGGUCCUUGCAGUGUUCAACAAUAGCUCCAAAACCAUCAUCUAACGGCUGAAGGGUUAUGUAAUCAGGGGUUCUUGGUUCAAUAAUACAAAGACGAAAGCGAGUCAUGUUAGGACGGUUCUUGGCAAUUGUUACCAAUGCAUCAUUAGUC
This 612-nucleotide long non-coding RNA is filed under the name Manihot esculenta (cassava). RNAcentral describes it as "long non-coding RNA (MESC_LNC002689)". Lineage: Eukaryota; Viridiplantae; Streptophyta; Magnoliopsida; Malpighiales; Euphorbiaceae. The record is from RNAcentral.